Non-coding RNA from Pelobates cultripes (western spadefoot toad), 214 nucleotides. The record is from the annotation of a GenBank genome assembly. NCBI's taxonomy places the organism in Eukaryota, Metazoa, Chordata, Amphibia, Anura, Pelobatidae.
GAGAACUUUGUUUGUUCCUUACGAAAAUCGAACCAGAUAUCAAAUAUUUAGUCUUGCAGCAUCAGCCUCAAGGAUCUCAUUAAUCACUAGUAAAGGUAAAGUUAAAAACAUAAUAAACAUGCAUAAAGUAGAAAUAAAAAGAUAAAUGUACGUGCAUGUGGCAAACCUAGCCACUUGGACAUUAUUUAAGUACUAUCGCUUUAAGGGUUGCCUG